This 377-nucleotide unclassified non-coding RNA is filed under the name uncultured fungus. RNAcentral's name for it is "partial contains 5.8S ribosomal RNA and internal transcribed spacer 2". The stretch from base 1 to 134 matches the Rfam family "5.8S ribosomal RNA", at positions 22 to 154 of the family's 154-position model. Lineage: Eukaryota; Fungi. The record is from RNAcentral.
UGGCUCUCGCAUCGAUGAAGAACGCAGCGAAUUGCGAUAUGUAAUGUGAAUUGCAGAUUUUCAGUGAAUCAUCGAAUCUUUGAACGCAUCUUGCGCUCCUUGGUAUUCCGAGGAGCAUGCCUGUUUGAGUGUCAUUAAAUUCUCAACUCCCUUUGAUUUUUUCAAGGGUGAGCUUGGAUUGUGGAGGUUCUGCUGGCUGCAAAGUCAGCUCCUCUGAAAUGCAUUGGCAAAGGCGUAUGCAUGAAUUGGCCUUUCGGUGUGAUAAUGAUCACCGUGGCUGGAUUGCUUUAAUGCUUGUGCCCAAUCUCUUUUCCAUUCAGUUGGAAAGAAAACCCACUUGACAUUUUGACCUCAAAUCAGGUAGGACUACCCGCUGA